GUAUUGGCUGACUGAUGCAGGAUUUCACAGGGGUCGGCAACGACGCUUGUUAAACUCGAUCUCAAAUCAAGUAAGACUACCCGCUGAACUUAAGCAUAUCAAUAAGCGGAGGAAAAGAAACUAACAAGGAUUCCCCUAGUAACGGCGAGUGAAGCGGGAUGAGCUCAAAUUUAAAAUCUGGCUGGUUUACUAGUCCGAAUUGUAGUUUAUAGAAGCGUUUUCGGUGGCAGCCUGGGUAUAAAUCCUUUGGAAUAGGGUAUCAUAGAGGGUGAGAAUCCCGUCUUUGACUCAGUGCAUGCUACUAUGUGAUACGUUUUCAAAGAGUCGAGUUGUUUGGGAAUGCAGCUCAAAAUGGGUGGUAAAUUUCAUCUAAGGCUAAAUAUUGGCGAGAGACCGAUAGCGAACAAGUACCGUGAGGGAAAGAUGAAAAGAACUUUGAAAAGAGAGUUAAACAGUGCGUGAAAUUGUUGAAAGGGAAACGUUUGACACCAGUUAUGCGGGUGGAAAAUCAGUCUUUUGCAGUGGGGAGUUGUGGGCGUUCAGACCGCAAGGCUGGCGUUUGCUUGAUCUCUGCUGUAAGUGAUGCACUUUUUCAUUUGCAGGUCAACAUCAGUUUGCUUUGCUGGACAAAACCCCAAGGGAAGGUGGCAGCUUAGGCUGUGUUAUAGCCCUGGGGCGAUACAGUGGAGUGGACUGAGGUUUCGCAGUGUGUGCUUUCGGGCAAGGCUGACUGGGUGCUAUGGGAUCGUUCGGCGUACAAUGCAUGCAUUUUGCGUCGUGUC
Molecule: ribosomal RNA, 782 nt
Filed under: Mortierella sp. NRRL 66054
Lineage: Eukaryota; Fungi; Mortierellomycota; Mortierellomycetes; Mortierellales; Mortierellaceae
Description: eukaryotic LSU rRNA
Rfam family: Eukaryotic large subunit ribosomal RNA
Source: RNAcentral